GUGAAGAACGCAGUGAAAUGCGAUACGUAAUGUGAAUUGCAGAAUUCAGUGAAUCAUCGAGUCUUUGAACGCACAUUGCGCCCCCUGGUAUUCCGGGGGGCAUGCCUGUCCGAGCGUCAUUGCUGCCCUCAAGCACGGCUUGUGUGUUGGGCCUCCGUCCUCCUCCCGGGGGACGGGCCCGAAAGGCAGCGGCGGCACCGCGUCCGGUCCUCGAGCGUAUGGGGCUUCGUCACCCGCUCUUGUAGGCCCGGCCGGCGCUUGCCGACACAUCAAUCUUUUUUCCAGGUUGACCUCGGAUCAGGUAGGGAUACCCGCUGAACUUAAGCAUAUCAAUAAGCGGAGGA
RNAcentral lists this unclassified non-coding RNA (344 nucleotides) under soil metagenome. Its description in RNAcentral is "partial contains 5.8S ribosomal RNA, internal transcribed spacer 2, and large subunit ribosomal RNA". The stretch from base 2 to 119 matches the Rfam family "5.8S ribosomal RNA", at positions 37 to 154 of the family's 154-position model. The record is from RNAcentral.